Molecule: long non-coding RNA, 371 nt
Organism: Cucurbita pepo subsp. pepo (vegetable marrow)
Lineage: Eukaryota; Viridiplantae; Streptophyta; Magnoliopsida; Cucurbitales; Cucurbitaceae
Source: RefSeq, a predicted model, not a curated record
CUCUUUUUCCUUUCGUCGAACACGUAAUCUUCGUCAAGAAGACGCUUGUUUAUCGCCCAUUCUUUCCGUCAAAUUCACUUCUCUUCUUCUUCGCCAGGAUUUACGGGAUCAGAAUCGACUAUUUUGCUACUCACAGAGGUUAAAAGAAAGUAUCGCAACAAUGGCGGACUGUUCCAGACCUCUCAGCCUCUUGCAGAAUCAGUAUGUCAAAUUAUACUUUCGAAUGGCGACUGGAGCGAAUUUCAAGAACAGGAAGAGAACAAAGAAAUCGAAACAGCGAUGAUCCCUCGGAAUCCCCGGAGAACAUUUCGUCGCUGUCAGUGGAAGAAAUGCUAGAUUGGGCGUGUUGACGAAAUGACUUCCGCAGCAAA